UGAGGCUCUUCUCAAACUCUCUCUAAACCCUAGCCUCUCUCGUCAUCUUCAACCUCAAUCCCACCGGAAUCCAUGGACUCUCAGGCCAUGGAUGGCUUAAACUCAUCUAUAUAUGCUAUUAAACACUUGGUAUUCGAAGGUUCAAGGUCUGACCUCGAUGGUGUCCAUUUUGAUCUUCGCUGAUUCAAGGUUCUAUGGCUAUCUCCGGCACAGCUUCGGUAUGCUAUGGUUUUUUGAGCCUAGUUCUGACUUAUCUGACUUAGAUCGAACCUUUUUCCAAGCCUUUCUCGUUCUAGGGUUCUUCUGAAACCCUGAUUACUUAAGGUUCUCUUUGAUUUUUUUUCUUAGAUCUGUCACAUAUAUGUGCUCUACUUGGGGUUUUAAACAAUUCCCCCAAUUUUUCUUUCAAAAAUUAUCUUUUAAAAUCACUUUUCUUCGAUUUAGGGUUUUCUGAAAGUAUUAAAAUGUUUAUCCGACUUUUCUUUUCCUUUCUUUGUGUGUAUUUGCAACGCAUGUGCUUUUACUGCUUUCUUAUGCUUUCUUUUUACUAUACGUGUUCUUCUAUGUUUCAUUUUCCUACUGUGUUUCUAUACCAUGCUCGCAUGUUUAUCUUGUUGUAUUUUCCGAUAUGUUCUUUUGCUACACUUUUUGGGUAUUUUGUGUUCUUAUAUUGUAUGUAGUUUCUACUUGUAUUUGCUUGUCUUCUCAUGAGAUUCUGAAAAGAAAUAUCUGAGCCUGUUACCUCCUCAUCUCUGCAUUUGACUCAAGGAGGAAACCCUAGAAUUUGGGGAGUUCCUCCGAGUUUGGUCAUUUGAACGGACCAGGGUUCUGUUUUAGAAACACGGACUCGUUCAGGCUUAUUUCUGAGUCUAUCAACUAAGUGUUAAUUUCUGUUGUUUGCACACAAUCCCGAUUCUCCUACACUAGACCCUUCUAUUGAAUAACAUGACAAGUCUCUUCAUGUUUAACGUGCCUGUAUGUUUUUUUAUAUGAGGAACUUUUAUUCACAAAGGGUUUUCCCAACUUGUGAUUGAUUCUGAAUUCUUUUUUAAUAAGUCUAAUUGAUUGGUACUGAUUUUCCUUAAGUCAAAAUCUUUCCCAUCUUUUUGACCUGGUUCAUUCAUACAAAAUCUACAAUUUCUGAUUUACUAGCUUUUAAUUAAUUUCCUUGCCUUAUUUAUCAUGUACUAUCAAGACUUUUUACUUAAAUAUACAUCUAUGUAUUUACCCCUCUUGAAGUGCUUGAUUAAUAUCUUUCCUUAAUUAGUUUACCCGUUCUAAAUCAGAAUCCCUUUAAUUAAAAGGAAACCUUGUGUAAUUCAUUUCCAAACUAUUUUCUUACAUAUUCCUACUUACUUUCUACACUAUAAAAGGGCACGACCCUUCUGCACUUUUAGAACACACAUUACACACUUCAGGCACUUAUAAUCUCACAAUUCCUUUUUAAACUCAUAGUAUUCUGACUACUUAUUUGCACUUUUGCUUUACAAGACUGUUGCUUUCUUUUGCCUGUUUACUUGAGACCGGUAUGUUCUAGUUUUCAUUUAAGCAUAAUCCCAAUGUGUGUACUUACAGCUUUUACAUCCAUAUCUAUUUACUGUUUAUAUGGAGUUUUAGCAUGUUAAUAUCCUUUGAUUUGUUUCUGUUGUGAAUUCCCGCACCCCUGUUUCCCCUAUGUGCUUUGAGUUGUAGUUCAUAACAUGGAAGUAUUCCAGUUAUCGUUCUUGAUCCCUUAGGGGGUCCUAACUUCGAAUAAACUAUGUUCUAACAGGCUGGUGGGAUGUGCCAGCAUUUUCUAUUGCUGGGCAUGACCACUAGCCUAUUUUUGUCACUCCCCUUUCCCCUUUUAAAUAUUCCUUCUAUGCACUUACUCUAAUUCCUAGCUUCUAAGUUCUUCCCCCUCCAAUGAGCCAUGCCUUGGUACCUUGAGUUCCCUCUGAACUUGGACACUUGAGGACUGGCCCUUUCACACUCCACUAUAUCUUAAUCUUGCAAUAUAUUUGGGCGUGAGGACUGCACGGAGUCCAUUUGAGGCUGUUAGGGAACUCUGAUAUACCCCAAAUGAGAAAGGCUUUGGAUCUUAAUCUUUGGAGUUGGUUUACUUCGCGCUUCAGGCGUGAAACCUGAAUCAAGUUCUCCUUGGAUGUAAUUUUAUUUGUUUCUGAUAUAGUUUCUUUAUUUUAUUUUUUGGAUUGUAAUAAUUCUAUAAUAAACUUCUGGAGUGAUUGGUGAAAAAAGGGAAGGGUAACCAGGCACGCAAAGGGUAGAUAUUACGCUCACAGGAAAUUACUGCACUCCUAUAUUCAUGUAUCCUGCUUACAGCUUUUCAUGUCUGCAUCGACAUAGAUAUCUUAUUUCCGUGGCUAGAUAUGGAGUUUUUGGAGUAGUUUUGGGCAGGUGUUUUUGGUUGAUUUUUAUGAAUUUUUUGAGCUUGAUGGUGUCUUAACAAUGAUGGAAAAUGCAGUUGGAUUUACCGAAUGUUUGUAACUGAAUUACUG
Molecule: long non-coding RNA, 2498 nt
Filed under: Nicotiana benthamiana
Lineage: Eukaryota; Viridiplantae; Streptophyta; Magnoliopsida; Solanales; Solanaceae
Description: long non-coding RNA (NBEN_LNC011483)
Source: RNAcentral